GCCUUAAGAAGGAAUGCUUCGUUCCCUCUCCAACCGAUGUUUGCAUUCAGAUCACAGAUAGAUAUUAUCGUUGCCACUGGAUUGAUAGCCUUUGCAUCUGCUGGCUUAGCCUUUCCCUUGUACAUGGCGAAAGGUUUAUCAUCCAGUUCUUCCAGAAAGUCAGUAUAGAUCCAGCAAAGCCACCUCCACCACAGGCCAGACACUGGUUCCCGAGACAUCGGACCCGACCAUCGAACUUGCACAAAGAAGUGGUUUUUGUUAUUCCAGACCAUUCCUAAAGUACAUAGACAUACUUCUCGAGUUAACAAUUACUAAUU
Molecule: long non-coding RNA, 317 nt
Organism: Cucurbita maxima (winter squash)
Lineage: Eukaryota; Viridiplantae; Streptophyta; Magnoliopsida; Cucurbitales; Cucurbitaceae
Exons: 3
Source: RefSeq, a predicted model, not a curated record